GUUAAAAAGCUCGUAGUUGGAUUUCGGAGUGGGCCAGUUGGUCCGCCGCAAGGUGUGUUACUGACUGGUCUGCUCUUCUUCGCAAAGACUGCGUGUGCUCUUUGUUGAGUGUGCGUAGGAUUUACGACGUUUACUUUGAAAAAAUUAGAGUGUUCAAAGCAGGCUAUUGCUUGAAUACAUGAGCAUGGAAUAAUGGAAUAGGACUUUGGUCCCAUUUUGUUGGUUUCUAGGACCGAAGUAAUGAUUAAGAGGGACAAUUGGGGGCAUCCGUAUUUCGUUGUCUGAGGUGAAAUUCUUGGAUUUACGAAGACA
RNAcentral lists this ribosomal RNA (312 nucleotides) under uncultured eukaryote. RNAcentral's name for it is "SSU rRNA". It matches the Rfam family "Eukaryotic small subunit ribosomal RNA", at positions 618 to 937 of the family's 1831-position model. The record is from RNAcentral.